This 587-nucleotide ribosomal RNA is filed under the name Shewanella sp. N04IS7. RNAcentral's name for it is "bacterial SSU rRNA". It matches the Rfam family "Bacterial small subunit ribosomal RNA", at positions 108 to 691 of the family's 1533-position model. Lineage: Bacteria; Pseudomonadati; Pseudomonadota; Gammaproteobacteria; Alteromonadales; Shewanellaceae. The record is from RNAcentral.
GAGUAAUGCCUGGGGAUUUGCCCAGUUGUGGGGGAUAACAGUUGGAAACGACUGCUAAUACCGCAUAAACCCUACGGGGAAAAGGGGAGGCUCUUCGGACUUCUCGCAAUUGGAUAAGCCCAGGUGGGAUUAGCUAGAUGGUGAGGUAAAGGCUCACCAUGGCGACGAUCCCUAGCUGUUCUGAGAGGAUGAUCAGCCACACUGGGACUGAGACACGGCCCAGACUCCUACGGGAGGCAGCAGUGGGGAAUAUUGCACAAUGGGGGAAACCCUGAUGCAGCCAUGCCGCGUGUGUGAAGAAGGCCCUAGGGUUGUAAAGCACUUUCAGUCAGGAGGAAAGGUUAGUAGUUAAUACCUGCUAGCUGUGACGUUACUGACAGAAGAAGGACCGGCUAACUCCGUGCCAGCAGCCGCGGUAAUACGGAGGGUCCGAGCGUUAAUCGGAAUUACUGGGCGUAAAGCGUGCGCAGGCGGUUUGCUAAGUCAGAUGUGAAAGCCCCGGGCUUAACCUGGGAAUAGCAUUUGAAACUGGCAAACUAGAGUCUUGUAGAGGGGGGUAGAAUUUCAGGUGUAGCGGUGAAAUGCGU